This is a non-coding RNA of Cyanistes caeruleus (blue tit), 8183 nucleotides long. Lineage: Eukaryota; Metazoa; Chordata; Aves; Passeriformes; Paridae. The record is from RefSeq and is a predicted model, not a curated record.
UGCCCAGUCCUCAGCCGGGCAGAGCUCCCUGCCUGUUCCCGCCACGGAAAUGCAGCAUUUUGACCAGAAUUUAGGAAAAUUUGCAAGUUUGGUCACUUUAUUAUACAGCCAUAACAGUGGGAAAAUGAACACUACGUCUUUAAACACAAUUACUUGCCAUACUGAAGUGUGAAGUCCUGGAGUGUUACUGUUUCUUAAGCUUGGUUUCUACGGGUUUUUUAAAAUUUAUUUUAUACUGUUAUGAUUUUAAACAAAACACCAAUUUUAAACACAGGCCUCAGCACUGGAUUUAUUUAUUUAUUUAUUAAUUUUCCUGGUGCACUUACACUGUUCCUUGCUCAGUAACACCAUUAGUUUUAACAACUAAUUUAGAAGGGAAAACAACGCACUCCUUGGUUUUUGUUCAUCUGAUCCUGUAGAACACAGACUUCCAGAUAAUACAAGGAUUGUUUUACACAUCUGUUGUCUGAGGAUCAAAAAGGCACCCACAGAUUUUUUGGGCCAUGAUCUCACCUUGUCCUGUAGUAUCCUCUGAUUCACAUUACAAAAGCAGGAACAUGUUGACAGAUAACACAAUGUUUAAAAGCUUUCUCCUUUAAUUUUUAAACUGCAAGUGGAGGAAAGCAGCUUUGGCGCAGGAGAUGGGUUUUACAGCACCACAUUCUCCUACAUCGGCAUUCCGCGGCUUUGUCUCGCCUUUGCAGUAAGUCCACAGCACAUCCUGAUAAAGUUUUAUCCAUCGUUUUCUUAAGAGGAAUUAUGUAUUUCCCCCUACAUUUACUAGCAGAUGUUGUUUAUAAAAAGGCCAGAAGCCACCUGUACAAGUGACAUUAUUCCUUCCAAUCUUAGCGAUUACAUCUAGGAAUCAUUCUGCAACUUGGAGGGUAUUACGGAGUAAGGAGUAAAACUAAUGGAAAUUAUCAGUUGGGGCAACAUUUCCUCUGAAUCAAAAAGCACCUGGUAUUUUACAGACAUUUCACGUGCACUUAAGAAGCUUUUGUGUAUUCUCGAGUGUGAGGGAGGUAAUUGAAAAAGGAAACGACUUCACCUUUUUAGUGAAUAGCCCCUCGAAUUUGCUCUAUGAGGCUGAUAGCAAACCAGAACCACUGUCAGGUUAGGAACUGCGCAAGCCUCAAGGCCCAUCUAACUACAGCAAUCACACUGCAAAUGACUAAAACCAGAGCAUGGUGGGUUUCCUUUAAAGGUAAGAGACUUUAGCUAAUUUUUAUUCUCUGUCAGACUUGCAACAUAUUGAAGCAUUUUAUUAUUUUUUUUUUUAAUAUUUUCUUCUUCAGACUAUGGGAAAACUUCUAGAACCUCAACAGGAGUUCUGUUUCCAGACCAAGGAAGAAUUGAGCACCACGCACAGCACUAAGCCAAUUGAAAAUACCAUAGGUCAGAAGCAGUAUCUGUGAUACAAUGAUAAAAUAAUUCACUGCUAACCCAUGACGAAAUGUUUUAACAGAUGCUUCUGUUAGGAUAAUUUUUUUUAAAGAGUGGUAUAAAAUGACUUGUCUUAGCCCUGGUGAAAAACACUGAAGAAACCCCAAACCACAUGUUGUGAAACAGCAAACCUACCAAAAGACAGACAAUGGUGCUGCCAUUGCCUCAUACUUUGGUCUCAAGCAUCUGCCAUAAGAAGCACAGUGGUGUGUUUUGGAAGAGCUGUGGAACAUGGUACAGGCUUUCUCAAGAUCACUUCAAUGACUCCCUGGCAUUUUCACCUACUACAAAUUCAGUCAUCUUAGCUGAGCAACUAAAAAAAGAGCCAUGUUAAGCUAAAAGCAGAAAGACAAACAUUCUUCUGCUCUUCAGCAAGCAUUUUUUUCCUUUCUAUAAAAUGCCCUUUUGUAACAUGUUGUUUUACACGCAGUGCUGUGACGUAAAUCAGCCCCUGCAUCCUCUUGUGCGUGCUAUUCCCACGCUAGGGGAGGCUUCAGGCUCCAGCUCUGGACACUGCAAUCUGUUCCUGAGCUUUCCUGGGAGCCGGCUGGGGCAGGGCAGAGCAGAGCACAGGGGAAGCCAUGGUGGAUUGUCCCAUGGCAGCACCCAGCUCUGCACAAGUCACACCACCGCCCUGUCAGCACCUUGGUGCUGCGCUUCAGGAUUCUGCACACAGCUCUUCAAACUCAGCCUCAGGAAAUCUUUCCUUGUGGAACAUCUUAUCCCCAUGAAACAUUCCCUCCGAGCCUCCUGCUGCCAUCCCUCCUGGACACCCCUCUGCGGGACUCCCACAGCUGUCACCAAACUCCUGCUUGUACAAAUUGCCUGUGUCUCUGCCCUAGCUGGAAAGAUUCACACUUAGAAUGGAUACACACCUUUCACUUCAGUGAAAUUCCACAGUUUGCAAGGUAAAAUGAAGAGGUGAUGGGUGUAAAGGAACCCCCAGCCUAAAUCUCUAAAACACAGUUCAGAACCUUUUAAAGGGAUAUUACUGCUGAGAAGUAAAGGAAAAAAAUGAAGGCCUACCCUGGGAAACCAAGUCUGCUCCAGUUUUUCCUUUCAAAAUGUGCAACCCACACAAUAUCCAACUGUUCUUGUUUAUGAGAAUUAAGCAGUAAGGUCAGAUGGUUUAUUUUCUUAAAGGUGAGCAAAGCACACAAAGUUAAGUAACAGAACAGUCAAAGUUAGAUUUUCAAAAUAUUUUCACUUUUCAUACUCUAGGCCAGUUCCAGAGAGCUGGUUUGGAGAGUGGGCUUUUUCAUUUGGUCUGUGCAGUUUUACAGGAAUGCUGCAUAAUAUUCUAGCUAUUUUUCUACUGGAAAACACUUCUUUAUUUCCAUAGUUGUCAUCUUGUAAAAAUUUAUUUGGAAUUUGCCAAUGUUUUUGUUCUCUCUAUGCCUUAAAUUCACUAGAUUUAAAAAAAAAACCUUCAAUGUUUGAUCUUUUUGUAGUAAUACAAGAUUAUACAAGUAUAUUGAGACAUUUCUUAAUGACAAAUUUCUCUUGAAGAGAUCCUUUAUCGUGUUACAGGCAAAAUAUGUCAUUGCUUCUUUCCCACUCAAUGUUGAUUGAUUUAUUAGUUCCUCUGGGCUAUUUUGUUUCCCAAAUAAUUUUCUCAUGAUAGCACACAGAACCUGUUCUUUGUUGUGUUGCUGGCUAGGGAGACACAAGUUCAGGCUAAAAGCUGAGGCAUCAGAAUUUCAGACGCAUCUGUGACUCAGCUGAAUUUUGGAGACUGCUUAUGAACAUGGUUUAAGUGUACAUCAAAAAGCAAAUUACUGUGACUUAACAAGAACCUUUUCUGUCCUUUAAAUAGGGAGGAUGCCUGGUAGCAAUUUCUGGGUUGGCCAACCAACAAAUAACCCCAAGCUUAGGCUAUAUCCGUACCUUAUCACAGCACAAUUAGCACACUCUGAGAAGGACAAGCUGUUGGGCAGGGGAUGGACACUGCCCUGGCUGGGAUGUCUGUGCUGGCUGUGUUUGUUUCAAGGACUGUGGCUUGUUGGACACUGCAAGUCACCAACUCUCUCAAAGUUCCAAAGUCAUAUUCAGUUACACCUUCUGCUCACAAUGGAAAUAGCCCACAAAUACCCUUGAUAACUCUCUGUUCUUUCUAAAAAUAGCCAACAGUCAUAUUCCUCCCCACUGCUGCCUCCACACCUAGAACUUCUCACAGACCUAAGGGAGCCUCACAUCCCAAGUAUCUCCCAAAUCCAGGAUUAAGUCUCUAGCAUAGACAACUACUUGCUGAUUUGGCUCCCUGAUCCCACCUGACUAUUCACAUGCACCUCCACAGUCACUUUGGCAUUUCCAUUGAAGGAGAAGGCGAGAAUAUCCCUUCCUCCACUUCCCCUGAGGGACAGACAAGCUUCCUGAGCCAGGAGAGGAGGGAGGCCACCCCUUCCUUACAUGCAGGGCCAAGCCACACAGCAGCUCUGUCACUCGGGGCUGAUGCCAGCUCUGUCCUGUGCCAGUGCUCUGGACUGCCCUGGACUGGGACCAACACACUGAAUCUGGGCUCCCUGCUUCCUCACACUGAGAAAUGUUGCCAAGAAAGUAAAUUAACAAAAAAAGUGUCUCCACUGUUUACUUUUCCACUACCUUUUUAUGUUCCUCAUUUCUCCCUACUGAUUAAAUGAUAUUGCUCUGUCCACAUUUGCUGAAGUCUUUCAUCUGCCCUGUUGACACAUUCAUGCUCCAGCCCACAACCACUUUGAGACUGAGUUACCUCCCUGACACACAUCCCUCGUCUGCUCAGGAGAGCUUCCUCGCACUGAGGUUGGAGUCUGGAGGCUCUGUUCUUCCCAGGUGUAAUCCCUUGACUCACACUGGUAUUACACACCCAGAUGUCUCCUCAUCACAGGCCAUGGUCCUGCUUUUCUGGGACAGCUCCUACCCUUGGGCCCCUGAUGAACCGUAGCAAAACCAGAUCCCUGACACUUCCCUCCCACACCCUUCCAUGCCUCUCCUGAUCCUGGAUUAACUCCAGUCUCUGACAGAGACAGAAGUCUGUGACAACCCUGCAAGAUAAAAUAAUCUGAGAUGUUUGCAGAGAACUCUGUAAAGGACUCUGGGGAAAGGCUACAGGCCAAGGACUCAGCCCAUCUCCCCUCCAACACAUACAGGCUGCAGAGGUGGAAAGGACAAAGCAGAAAACUUGGAAUGCAUCAAGUAAAGAGCAAGUGGCAGUAAAAACCAUGGCAGACUGAUAGACUUUGGGUGGAAAUGGAGUGCAGGCAGUGCUGCUGUUGUUGUGCUGGCAGUAAUUUGGAGCAGUGCUGUGCUGUGCCAGAUACAGUACACUCUAAGGCUCUGAAAAAAUAAAGGUUUCUCUGGGUGAGUAAGAAUAAAUAAGAGCAGCAUUAUUAAUCAAGUUGGUAAGACUAAAUAAAUAGCAUCAGGGACAAGAUAUAAAUGAAAACUUAUAAGUGUCAGAAGUGACAGUCUCCAAACUCCAGGUGUCUGCAAUGAGCUCCUGCAGCAUUCCUGCAGGUCAGCCUUUGAAGUGAGCCCUUGAGGAUCCCUGGCCCUGGAAGAGCUGGCUGACAAAGGGGACAUGCUACUGCUUUCUCCCUGCUCCAAAGUGGGUGCUCUGCUCCAGGACUUCCUCUGAUCCCCAGGUGUUCUGCUCCUGAGGCCCUUGAGCCCCCACAUCAAAGGCAGAUGGAAGGAUGUGAGGCUGUCUGAUGCCAAUUGUCUCCUCUGUCAGUAGCAGAGAUGCUGAGAGGAGCUGCAGCUGCAGGAGAGAAGGUCGCACACCAGGACUGUUCAAGGUGACAGAAGCUCAAAGCCCACUGGUGGCACAGAUGGAAAUCAAAUAUAACCAGUGAAAUAAAAUAUAACCAGCGCUCUACACUUCAGCCACUGCUGCUAAGCAGACAGAGACAAACCCACAGUUUUAUCAGGAAUAAUUCUCAAACUGAAAAGUUUCCUCCAAAACAAAUACAUUUACCUGUACCUGAGAGGAAAAAGAUUGAAACCAAACCAAACACCGGAAUUUGGGCUUAACAUAUUGUUGUUUGACCUAAAUUAAUUCUAAUCCAAUAAAUUAUCUGGGCACUAAUGAAAUAAUUCUUUCUAAUGAUUACAGAGCAGCAGAAGUUACAAUCAGUUCAUGCCUCACCUCACCAAUUAAAGCAUGAGGGGACAAGCAAAUUACUGUUUUAGGCUUUGAUUCAACACAAUAUUUCAGCAGAAGUUUCAGCCUUAAUUUACUUUCUUUGUGCUGAAAUACUUUGCUGAAAUGAAGCCUCAAAGACUUUGAUUUUCCCACUUCUGUUUUAAUCAGACCAGCCCUCAAGACAUGAUACCACCUUCUGCACCUCAAGUUCCCUGACUGCUGUGGGAGAGGCUGCUGCAAAGGCAGCCUCUCAUCAGCAAGGCAUGUUGAAGCUUUGGAAAUUUGAAUAAUUUUUUACUUUUCUAGAAGCCCUUCAGGGGCUGGGCAAACUUCAAGCCUUUCUAAGGUGGUUUGGAACUAGAGACUGUAACUUUUGAAGCUAAUAUUGUAGUUUCAUGUUAGUGUGUUAUUAAUACAUUUUUUAAUUUUAAGAAUAUAAUUUAUUUUUAAAGUCAAAUAAUUAGAUUUUAACGUCCUGGAUUGAGAAUUCCCUGUGGCAGAAUCCUUCUGUAAAAGGUCCAACUCUGUGUAGGGGUGCACAGGGAGGAGGAUUCCCCUGCUGCUGCCAAGCUCUCCUCACCUGACCCUCACCUUCAAGUGAAUCUGAAAAUCUGGGUGUCUGCAGGAAGUUCAGGAUGGAGUGGUUGCAUAUGUGACCUAAAAAGGAGUUCUGAAGUUGCUGAAUUUCUGUUAAUAAAUCUGAUUUCUCUAGAUUAAUCAGUAAGAUGUUUAAAAUCAAAAUAGUGGGUUCCUAUUACAUGGAAAAUUGCAUGAGUUUGGGCUGUUAAAGCUAGAGUAAUAUUUUGCAUUGUGAUUUAUUUUAUACAGCAAACACAGUAUAUAACACUCUCAGUAAGAGGCAAACUAAGAGUUACCACCUGAGGUCUCUAGUAGCUGGCCUAAAUGCAGCUAAUAUUGUAUCUCUGAUCAGUACCCAAAAUCCUUCUUUUCAGGAAACACAGACAAAUUUGUGCAUAAUUUUUCUCAUGGAAGGCUAUGCUCCUAUGUUUAAAUAAAAUGAAGAAUUCUAAUCUCCAGUGUAAAUGUGAUGAUGGAUGGAAACACAUACAAUUCAUGUGAGGAUCAUGGUGAGCCAAGUCCAUUUGGCCCAUCUCAAAUUUAGCAGCCAGUUCUGAACAUUUUAAACUUAAUCAUCAGACACACUGCAAGAAUUAUUGCUACAGUCAGCCCCUGGUACUGGGUAAAGAGCUCCCUAAAGCACAAACAGAUCUCCCCUGUUUGUUACGGCCCAAAACAUCUAUUACCCAGACUUAACAUAUUUUCACAUGUAUUGCCAGGGGUGAGGUAACAACUCAGUCCUGAAGCAGAUGAAAACCUCUCACUCUGCACAGGAACUUGACAAAGCAAGAACCUUGCUCAACAAGUGAACUCUUCCUAGGGUGGGUGAUUGCUUUGUCAACCCAGCAGUGCUGCAAUUGCACCCUGUGCCCUCAGCCUCCAGGUCCAUCCACUCCCCCUGAGCCAAGCUCCCCCCACCUGGCAAGCAGCAGCCUGAUGCAGAAGUGAGAACCAAUCUUUGCUUUUCCCAGGGGAAGGGCAGAGUCCAACCACAGUGGCUCCCCUAAUUUGAAUGCUGACAUAUUUGCUGCAAGUGACCUUUGUGAUAUCUCAUGGAAUGCAAACAAGUGAUAACACUGGCAGGGAGAGGGGGGCACUGAGACUGAGGAGGAAAUGCAUAUUUUCCACAUCACAUCAGCCCAAUUAUCAGUUAUUGUCCUUUGCAAAAUCUUUUAAUUAUGCUUACAGCUCAAAGAGUGAGGCUGUUUAACCUUCACACCACUCAGAUGGCCAUUUGGGCCCAUGAAAAGGAGCUAAACCCAAACCCAAGCCUUCUUUUACAAGUAAUAAGUCACACUUCGGGUUUUAUCUGGCACUUUCUACAGGGCAGCAGGAGAACAGCUAACCUUGUAAAACCUUAAUAAAGGAAUCCCAGUUUGUCCUCACCUGUCUGGCAAAAGCAGUGCUGCAGCUCCUUUUAUCAGUGGGGCACCAGUGAGGCAUUUAAUUCUGGGACAGGCCCAGUGACUACUGAAGGUGAGUUAUGGAGAGCACAGGCAGAAAUGCCUUUUUGCUAUUGAUGAUUCCUAGUAGGAGAUUUUUUAUGUUGAACCAAAAGUUACAACCCUAUUUCUGGAAUUGUUUUCCCUGACUUUGAUUCACAGAGCCAUGGUUUACCUCACUGCAGUGUUAACAAGCAUAGUUCAUGGAGCAGACUUGCCCAGCAUUUUGUGUCAUCAUCAUCUGUGUUCCUUUUUUGGUCCCUCCUUCUCGUAUUUGACAGAAAACUGAGUGGGCAACAUCUUCAUUGAUAAACUCUUCUCUGGCCACAUCCCCCUCAGCUUUAGUGUGCAACAUCCUCUCCUGGAUUGUGCUGUUUUACCCCACCAGCACAGAUCCAUCACUGACACCGACUGAGCACAUUCCCACAGCUUAACAGAGAUGGACACCAUGAAAGAUGAUGUGCCCUCAGGAGUUCUUUUUUUAAAGCCAAUGGAUUUUUCAGUCACAUAAAGUAAUUCAGAUUUUCAAUGUUUGAUAAUUAAACAGCUCAUUAGGACAUGUCAAAGAAAAAGUAAGUGCAGGUUCAUUCUGACUAUAU